UUGACCUGAACUCACUCGAGAGCACCCGCUGAACUUAAUCAUAUCAGUAAAGCGGAAAAGAAACUAAAUAGGAAUUCCCCUUAGUAACGGCGAGUGAAA
Molecule: ribosomal RNA, 99 nt
Filed under: Meloidogyne javanica (root-knot nematode)
Lineage: Eukaryota; Metazoa; Nematoda; Chromadorea; Rhabditida; Meloidogynidae
Description: partial 28S ribosomal RNA
Rfam family: Eukaryotic large subunit ribosomal RNA
Source: RNAcentral